GUCACCGCUAUUGGAAUACGAUUAAGGCAUGCGAGUCGAGAGUCUUAGGGACUCGGCGGACGGCUCAGUAACACGUAGAUAAUCUGCCCUUAGGUGGGGGAUAAUCUCGAGAAAUUGAGAAUAAUACCCCAUAGAUCUAGGAUGCUGGAAUGCUUUUAGAUUGAAAGCCCCGGCGCCUAAGGAUGAGUCUGCGGCCUAUCAGGUUGUAGUGAGUGUAACGGACUCACUAGCCGACGACGGGUACGGGUCCUGAGAGGGAGAGCCCGGAGAUGGACUCUGAGACACGAGUCCAGGCCCCAAGGGGCGCAGCAGCUACGAAAACUUCACAAUGCGGGAAACCGCGAUGAGGGGAUUCCAAGUGCUGCAGUAUAACUGUAGCUGUUUAUUUGCCUAAAAAGCAAGUAGAGUAAGGGCUGGGUAAGACUGGUGCCAGCCGCCGCGGUAAUACCAGCAGCCCGAGUGGUGACCACUUUUAUUGGGCCUAAAGCGUCCGUAGCCGGUUUGGUAAACCCUUGGGUAAAUCGAGCAGCUCAACUGUUCGAAUUCUGAGGAGACUGCCAGACUUGGGACCGGGAGAGGUUGGAAGUACUUUUGGGGUAGGGGUGAAAUCCUGUAAUCCCAAAAGGACUACCGGUGGCGAAGGCGUCCAACUAGAACGGGUCCGACGGUAAGGGACGAAGCCCUGGGUCACGAACCGGAUUAGAUACCCGGGUAGUCCAGGGUGUAAACGCUGCAGGCUUGGUGUUGGGGGUCCUACGAGGGCGUCCAGUGCCGGAGAGAAGUUGUUAAGCCUGCCGCCUGGGGAGUACGGUCGCAAGACUGAAACUUAAAGGAAUUGGCGGGGGAGC
RNAcentral lists this ribosomal RNA (848 nucleotides) under uncultured archaeon. Its description in RNAcentral is "bacterial SSU rRNA". It matches the Rfam family "Archaeal small subunit ribosomal RNA", at positions 23 to 877 of the family's 1478-position model. The record is from RNAcentral.